GAUGAAGAACGUAGCGAAAUGCGAUAAGUAAUGUGAAUUGCAGAAUUCAGUGAAUCAUCGAAUCUUUGAACGCACCUUGCGCUCCUUGGCAUUCUGAGGAGCAUGCCUGUUUGAGUGUCAUUAAAUUCUCAAGACCUGUCUGCUUUUUUGAUAGGUAUUGGAUUUUGGGGGUUGCAGGCUGUUUCAAAUAAAUAGCCUUGCUCUCCUUGAAUGUAUUAGUGGAGAAAAGCCAUUGAACUCCAUUGGUGUGAUAAAACCUAUCAAUGCCAGGAGCAAUAUCACUACUUCUCUCUGCUGUCUAACUGUGACUGUCUGUAUUAAUUAGUAUGGAUGGGGACAACUUGACCAACUUGACCUCAAAUCAGGUAGGACUACCCGCUGAACUUAAGCAUAUCAUAAGCGGAGGA
Molecule: unclassified non-coding RNA, 407 nt
Filed under: soil metagenome
Description: partial contains 5.8S ribosomal RNA, internal transcribed spacer 2, and large subunit ribosomal RNA
Rfam family: 5.8S ribosomal RNA (bases 1-120)
Source: RNAcentral